UACGGAGGGAGCUAGCGUUGUUCGGAAUUACUGGGCGUAAAGCGCGCGUAGGCGGCUUUGUAAGUUAGAGGUGAAAGCCCGGGGCUCAACCCCGGAACAGCCUUUAAGACUGCAUCGCUAGAAUCCGGGAGAGGUGAGUGGAAUUCCGAGUGUAGAGGUGAAAUUCGUAGAUAUUCGGAAGAACACCAGUGGCGAAGGCGGCUCACUGGACCGGUAUUGACGCUGAUGCACGAAAGCGUGGGGAUCAAACAGG
Molecule: ribosomal RNA, 253 nt
Filed under: uncultured bacterium
Lineage: Bacteria
Description: partial 16S ribosomal RNA
Rfam family: Bacterial small subunit ribosomal RNA
Source: RNAcentral